CCUACGGGAGGCAGCAGUGAGGAAUAUUGGUCAAUGGACGAGAGUCUGAACCAGCCAAGUAGCGUGAAGGAUGACUGCCCUAUGGGUUGUAAACUUCUUUUAUAAAGGAAUAAAACGAGGCACGUGUGCCUUUUUGCAUGUACUUUAUGAAUAAGGAUCGGCUAACUCCGUGCCAGCAGCCGCGGUAAUACGGAGGAUCCGAGCGUUAUCCGGAUUUAUUGGGUUUAAAGGGAGCGUAGAUGGGUUGUUAAGUCAGUUGUGAAAGUUUGCGGCUCAACCGUAAAAUUGCAAUUGAUACUGGCAGUCGUGAGUACAGUUGAGGUAGGCGGAAUUCGUGGUGUAGCGGUGAAAUGCUUAGAUAUCACGAAGAACCCCGAUUGCGAAGGCAGCUUACUAAACUGUGACUGACAUUGAUGCUCGAAAGUGUGUGUAUCAAACAGGAUUAGAUACCCUGUAGUC
Molecule: ribosomal RNA, 459 nt
Filed under: uncultured bacterium
Lineage: Bacteria
Description: partial 16S ribosomal RNA
Rfam family: Bacterial small subunit ribosomal RNA
Source: RNAcentral